RNAcentral lists this ribosomal RNA (440 nucleotides) under uncultured bacterium. Its description in RNAcentral is "partial 16S ribosomal RNA". It matches the Rfam family "Bacterial small subunit ribosomal RNA", at positions 338 to 795 of the family's 1533-position model. The record is from RNAcentral.
CCUACGGGUGGCAGCAGUGGGGAAUAUUGCACAAUGGGCGGAACCCUGAUGCAGCGACGCCGCGUGAGUGAAGAAGUAUUUCGGUAUGUAAAGCUCUUUCAGCAGGGAAGAAAAUGACGGUACUUGACUACGAAGCCCCGGCUAACUACGGGCCAGCAGCCGCGGUAAUACGCAGGGGGCAAGCGUUAACCGGAUUUACUGGGUGUAAAGGGAGCGUAGGCGGGUUUGCAAGUCUGAUGUGAAAGCCCAAGGCUCAACCAUGGGACUGCUUUUGAAACUGUAAAACUGGAGUGCAGGAGAGGUAAGCGGAAUUCCUGGUGUAGCGGUGAAAUGCGUAGAUAUUAGGAGGAACACCAGUGGCGAAGGCGGCUUACUGGACUAUAACUGACGUUGAGGCUCGAAGGCGUGGGGAGCAAACAGGAUUAGAUACCCCAGUAGUC